This is a long non-coding RNA of Homo sapiens (human), 797 nucleotides long. RefSeq lists it as uncharacterized. Lineage: Eukaryota; Metazoa; Chordata; Mammalia; Primates; Hominidae. The record is from RefSeq and is a predicted model, not a curated record. The transcript is spliced from 3 exons.
UUCUAGAGAUUUAUUUUGUUCCUUUGAAUAUGCUAAUUCUCCUGUAUACUUGGUUAUUGUUAAAUGCCUUAAUUUCCUAAAAGUCUUAUGCUUGCUUCUUCUUGGGGUGAUUUAUGUUCUAUGCUUGAUAUCUGACCUAUUUCAAGCUAUGCAGCUAUUCUCAUCUGAAGUCAUCAGUUGGGAUGGAAACCAGUCUCUCAGCAGUACUUAAACAGGUCAGAAAGUUGCCAGCAGUUCCAAUCUAUUAUUUUUAUCUCAAAGGAAAAAUCAGCAGUAGAGUGGCUUCCCUCCUUCGACUCAGUUUCAGGGAAGGGGUGAGAACACCCUGUGAAGAGGAAGGCAGAGAUUGGAAUGAUGCAGAAGAAGCCAACGAAUCUAGGAGAGAGGCAUGAAUUUCCCCUUCAUAGUCCUUGUAAGGAGCCAACCCUGCUGCACCUUUAUCUCAAAUGUCCAGCUUCCAGAACUGCAAGACAGUAAAUUUCUGCUGUUUAAGACAAAAAAAAAAAAAGUUAAGCUUUAUAUGCACAAAGCAAGACAUUACUUAUAUUAAAUGUUGUAUCUGUGAUCUUUACAACAUUUGUCAAAUAGUCUAUUAGCCAAUCAGUUGGUAGGCAGAAGUAUCUAAAUCACAUAAAAUAAUUGUGCCUAAAUAAUUCUGGUAACUUAUGUAUAAUCCGUUGAACAUCUUGACAAUCACUAAUUUAACUAAUGCAAGUUUGUCAAAUAGGGGAACUGGGGAUCCUGAUACUAAUAUAAUUUUAGAAGAUGAACAACAGUAAAGCAUUUAUGGACUGAGA